AACUCAUCCUCUGCAAUUUAAAACUCUUAUCUCUACGUGUGCACAAACCUCACCAUUAGAUGAUUAGUAGAAGACAAAACUUACAGCCAAAUUGACAAACUUAUCUCUCUCCAAAACAUUUGGUCCAUACGAUAAAGCAAGAAGAAGAAUUAAUAAAAACAAGAAGAAGAAGAAGACGGAGAGGUAGAGGAUGAAGCAUGAAAUGGUGAACAUCAAGCUACGAUGCAUAUCCAUCUUCUUUCUUCUCUUUGCUUUGCUUCUUGGAAAUUAUGUAGUUCAAGCCUCAAGACCUCGUUCUAUCGAAAAUACGGUCUCACUUCUCUCACAAGUGCAUAUCCUGAAUUCGAGGAGGAAUAUGAUAGGGUCGACGGCACCAACUUGUACGUACAACGAGUGCAGAGGAUGCAGAUACAAAUGCAGAGCUGAGCAAGUCCCAGUCGAAGGCAAUGACCCUAUCAAUAGUGCUUAUCAUUAUAGAUGUGUUUGUCACAGAUAAUAAUGAUAAAUCUUUUAAUUUUUUGCCUUUUCUUUGCAAUUUUUGUAUGACUUGAUUGCAUUUUUGUUUUUUUUUGAAUGAGAUGCUUUGGUCAGCAUUAUUGAUUAUUAGUUUUUUUUUCCUUUUUAACUCUUGAAAUUGUUAAAGUAUUUAGUUCAUUA
This is a long non-coding RNA of Camelina sativa (false flax), 657 nucleotides long. RefSeq annotates it as EPIDERMAL PATTERNING FACTOR-like protein 9. NCBI's taxonomy places the organism in Eukaryota, Viridiplantae, Streptophyta, Magnoliopsida, Brassicales, Brassicaceae. The record is from RefSeq and is a predicted model, not a curated record.